RNAcentral lists this ribosomal RNA (1383 nucleotides) under Triticum aestivum (bread wheat). RNAcentral describes it as "partial small subunit ribosomal RNA". The record is from RNAcentral. Lineage: Eukaryota; Viridiplantae; Streptophyta; Magnoliopsida; Poales; Poaceae.
AUGAACAUCAACACCCCGCCUACCCAAUUAUCGUCGGGUGUCGGGUUGGGUGAUAGCGGACGGGGUAAGGAGGAGGCUCCAUUAGUCGCUGAUGACGUCGCCAUGGAUGAGGAUGAGGACGACGAUGGCGCUGCUGAACAGUAUGUCUAUACUGGCGCCUCCUCAGGGUUUGAGCGUCAUGAGUCGGUGCCUGAAUUGCUGUCUCAACAUAUUAUGGACGACCUUCCGAUAGUAAAGAAGUUUAGGAAGAGAGCGAGGAAAGGCAAAAAAGUUGUUUCUAUGAUCCAGUCGCCUCAGCAGCCUCGGCUUCAGGACCGUAUAGAUAUCCCCGGUGCGGAUAAAUGGCAUAUCCCCGGUCAACCAAUCCUACCUGCAACAGUGCUACGGGCCAGAUUCGGCGAUCUAAAGAGACUUCAUGACGAUGUGCUGCGGGUAGAGAAAGACCUCAUUGCCUCGAAAGAUCUAGGAUACCCACUCUACGUGGUUAACAUUCCGCGGCAAAUGUCGUACGUCGACAGCUUCCCCACGGAUAAGUUCUUCCUCCGAUUCGAUUACAUAUUCGACAUGUUUCACGUGAAGAAGCUGGAUUUUACGUUUUUCCGCCUUUAUGCCUUGCACAUGAACUACAUCAUCGGGGUUGAGCAGAUAUCUCAUAUCUGUGUCGCUGACCCGUACUACAUGCACGAGGGCUUCUUGGGAGUCUGCGCAAAUCAUCGUGAAUACGCGAGGGAUUACAUCAUCAAUUUCAUGCUCGCCAAUAAGGAAAAGGAGGCGAUUCUCGUGCCUUAUCAUCCCGUCGGCGGGCGCGCCGUCCUCUUCAUCCUCUACCCCCGAUUCUCCCACGCUCUUUACUUGGACUCAUCGAAGAACAUUCACAAAAAGGAUUACACCCACAUCAAGGAUGUUCUUGACAGCGCUAUGUUUUACUACCAAGCAAGGGGUGGAGAGGUUCGGGACAAGAAGAGAAGGGGCGGCAGGGUCGCCUUCGGCCAUAAGACCGACUUUUGCUGCAUCAAGCAACCGAACGAUUCUCUUAAUGAUGGAUUCUAUGUCCUACACCACAUGCUGGAGUACAGACGGGAUCACCAGAACCUUCGCAUGUCACCUAGAUCCGGCAAUGCCCAUAUUCUGCAAUGGGCAAAGGACAUAGGAGAUAUCGAGGAUCAUCGACUUCGAGCUGAGUUCUAUAACAUCCAGCGCGAACUUGCCCAAAUCAUCAUGAAGGAGGUCGUCGGAAAAACAAGGAUGUUCUACGGAGAAGGACAAAUGUCGCGGGAAGACGUCCGAACAUGGAUAGCCUCUCAGCGUCUCGACCUGAAGCCUUUCACUAGGCUCGGGGACUAUCUCCCUGACUUGGAUGGAUGGAACGACAUGUUGGAGUGA